GACAGAGGCCUCGAGCGUUAGGCGGAAUCACUGGGCUUAAAGCGUGUGUAGGCGGGCCCGUAAGUGUCUUGUGAAAUCCCACGGCUCAACCGUGGAACUGCUGGGCAUACUGCGGGUCUUGGGCCAACUAGGGGCAGCCGGAACAAGCGGUGGAGCGGUGAAAUGCGUAGAUAUCGCUUGGAACGCCGAAGGUGAAAACAGGCUGCUGGGGUUGCGCCGACGCUGAGACACGAAAGCCAGGGGAGCGAACGGG
RNAcentral lists this ribosomal RNA (253 nucleotides) under uncultured bacterium. RNAcentral's name for it is "partial 16S ribosomal RNA". It matches the Rfam family "Bacterial small subunit ribosomal RNA", at positions 524 to 776 of the family's 1533-position model. The record is from RNAcentral.